UUUAUAGAAGACGAACCACAUCUGGGCCUAGAGCCAAGUCACCGCUGGGCCUCUUAUCACUGGUUUGUGUGGCUCAGGGCUGCCUUCAUUGACUUUGGGGUUAGGAAGUCUCUGUGGAUGUUAAUGUUAAAGAUUGUAAGAGCAC
Non-coding RNA from Vicugna pacos (alpaca), 145 nucleotides. The record is from RefSeq and is a predicted model, not a curated record. NCBI's taxonomy places the organism in Eukaryota, Metazoa, Chordata, Mammalia, Artiodactyla, Camelidae.